Molecule: long non-coding RNA, 1415 nt
Filed under: Brachypodium distachyon (stiff brome)
Lineage: Eukaryota; Viridiplantae; Streptophyta; Magnoliopsida; Poales; Poaceae
Description: long non-coding RNA (BDIS_LNC002384)
Source: RNAcentral
GGUGCGUAGAGCCACGCUGCACAAAGCAUCCAUUUCGUUUCAACUAUCAAGCCUAAGGACCUAUUUUCUAUCAACCCUGUAUACCUCAGUUAUCUUCUAAUAUCCCAACCCGUGUGUACGUAGCUUUCCAAACAAAAAUAAAAUCUCAUGAUAUGCCGCCCAUUUGUUUUGUGCAUGACUGGUUGCACAUAGCAUUUCAUUUGAACUGAUGCACAUAUAUAUAGGUAAGCACUGCCUAGAUUAAUUUAUAGACCAAAAUAAUGGGUUUAUACCGUUAUAGUCGAUCAUGACUCUGCUACUCUUCAAAUUAAUUGCCAACCAUUAACAUUACUUGUGCCUUUAUAGAAGUUGGUCCGUCAAUAUUCGCCACUCAUCAACACUGCAUGCCUCAAGUUGUUUUCAUUCACAGCAAGUAACUAGGUGUCAUACAUACAAGAUGGAGUUGCAUACUCCUUGAGCAGCUAAUUGACAUGAAACGUAACCGGGGUGUUUCCUUUCAAGAUAAAAGUCACCUAGUAUUUCUUAGAUACAAGGGCCACACCUUCAUUAAAAUUAAAAAAAAUGAUUAUAAUUAACUCGGUUUUGUCGCACUUCAUUAAUAUGAGUUUCUUGUUGUUUACUUAACAUUAAGCAUGACAAAAGUUGGCUUAAAAAGAAUGAGUAAAGGGAAAUAUAUGUGCGGAAAACGAAUAUGAUCGAUGCACUAGUUACCCCCGAUCUCAAAAUCUUUCCGGGCUUUAUUUAUAGAACUGGGCAAAUAUUAGCUUAAAGUUCCAUCCAAAAUAUAUACUUGCUCCGGCUGUUUCUUAAUAAAAAAUUAAAGAAGCACGAAUGCAUAAUUAUGAUCAACACUUCAGGUCAUGUCGUUGGCGAGUUCAGCACCACAGAACAAGAACAUGCUCUAUCAUACGGUGCUAAACUACAUCCGUGAUGAUAUCUGCCUCUUUUGUGAGGCUUGGGAGAUUUAGCAAAAAAAAAAAGGAAAAAAAGAGAGAGAUGGCCGUCGCAUGAAGGAUGAAAGAAGAUGGCCUCCGUUCAAUGUUUAUAACUUAUUUUUCAAUAAAACCAUCGUUGCUCCAGAGAAUUUACAGGAGCCUCGGAGGCUGGCUUCCUUUUCAGCAAAAAUGGAUACGUCAAAAAGCUUAAAAUCACUACUAUUUCCUUUUCAGCAAAAAUGGAUAUGUCUAGAAGCAUAAAGGCACCACGAAGACACCGUGAGUCCUCGUGCUUCCUCCUGCUACACCAUUCCUAGAUCAAGGACCUCAGAUCAAGAACUGUGUAUGGAAGAACGAAAUCACUCCAGAGCAGGUCCUCUGAUAGAUUCAGCCAGGUUCGACUCAACGCUAUCUGGACACACGCACACACGCGAUGAACUGGGAGGAGGAAACACACAGAGAACUCACGACACAGGACUC